RNAcentral lists this ribosomal RNA (796 nucleotides) under uncultured Methanosarcinaceae archaeon. Its description in RNAcentral is "bacterial SSU rRNA". It matches the Rfam family "Archaeal small subunit ribosomal RNA", at positions 85 to 879 of the family's 1478-position model. The record is from RNAcentral. Lineage: Archaea; Methanobacteriati; Methanobacteriota; Methanomicrobia; Methanosarcinales; Methanosarcinaceae.
ACGGCUCAGUAACACGUGGAUAACCUGCCCUUGGGUCCGGCAUAACCCCGGGAAACUGGGGAUAAUUCCGGAUAACGCACAUAUGCUGGAAUGCUUUAUGCGUAAAAUGGAUUCGUCUGCCCAAGGAUGGGUCUGCGGCCUAUCAGGUAGUAGUGGGUGUAAUGUACCUACUAGCCUACAACGGGUACGGGUUGUGAGAGCAAGAGCCCGGAGAUGGAUUCUGAGACAUGAAUCCAGGCCCUACGGGGCGCAGCAGGCGCGAAAACUUUACAAUGCGGGAAACCGUGAUAAGGGGACACCGAGUGCCAGCAUCAUAUGCUGGCCGUCCAGGUGUGUAAAAUACACCUGUUAGCAAGGGCCGGGCAAGACCGGUGCCAGCCGCCGCGGUAACACCGGCGGCCCGAGUGGUGAUCGUGAUUAUUGGGUCUAAAGGGUCCGUAGCCGGUUUGGUCAGUCCUCCGGGAAAUCUGACGGCUUAACCGUUAGGCUUUCGGGGGAUACCGCCAGGCUUGGAACCGGGAGAGGUAAGAGGUACUACAGGGGUAGGAGUGAAAUCUUGUAAUCCCUGUGGGACCACCUGUGGCGAAGGCGUCUUACCAGAACGGGUUCGACGGUGAGGGACGAAAGCUGGGGGCACGAACCGGAUUAGAUACCCGGGUAGUCCCAGCCGUAAACGAUGCUCGCUAGGUGUCAGGCAUGGCGCGACCGUGUCUGGUGCCGCAGGGAAGCCGUGAAGCGAGCCACCUGGGAAGUACGGCCGCAAGGCUGAAACUUAAAGGAAUUGGCGGGGGAGCAC